This 497-nucleotide ribosomal RNA is filed under the name uncultured bacterium. RNAcentral describes it as "partial 16S ribosomal RNA". It matches the Rfam family "Bacterial small subunit ribosomal RNA", at positions 28 to 507 of the family's 1533-position model. The record is from RNAcentral.
GAUGAACGCUGGCGGCAUGCCUAAUACAUGCAAGUCGAGCGAACAGACGAGGAGCUUGCUCCUCUGACGUUAGCGGCGGACGGGUGAGUAACACGUGGAUAACCUACCUAUAAGACUGGGAUAACUUCGGGAAACCGGAGCUAAUACCGGAUAACAUGUUGAACCGCAUGGUUCUACAGUGAAAGACGGUUUUGCUGUCACUUAUAGAUGGUUCCGCGUCGCAUUAGCUAGUUGGUAAGGUAACGGCUUACCAAGGCAACGAUACGUAGCCGACCUGAGAGGGUGAUCGGCCACACUGGAACUGAGACACGGUCCAGACUCCUACGGGAGGCAGCAGUAGGGAAUCUUCCGCAAUGGGCGAAAGCCUGACGGAGCAACGCCGCGUGAGUGAAGAAGGUCUUCGGAUCGUAAAACUCUGUUAUUAGGGAAGAACAAAUGUGUAAGUAACUAUGCAGGUCUUGACGGUACCUAAUCAGAAAGCCACGGCUAACUACGUG